ACGGGCUUAGUCAACAGCAGGGCACAGCAAACACCUCCCUGAGACGAGCCCAGGAUGUGCAACCCCGCUGUGAUGCUCUGCAGGGAUGCAGAGUGGAGCAUCCCCCCGGCUGCUGGGACCCACCACCCACCUUGGAAUCACCUGAGCAGUGCCAAAAGGGUGCUCCUGCCUGGUGAACCCACACCCAGCACAACAUCCAGAGUGGUUCAGAGGCUGCCAGAGUCUCAGGGCUGGGACUGUGGCUCUUCCCUGGGUGAGACAAACAGCUCCCACACUGGGUGGCUGCUGGGGGUUUGUUUGGAGCAGGGGAAGGCCAGGCCAGGAGCGACAGGGGAUUUCAUAACACGCCUCUGUCUGCGCGGGCACCCGGCGAGGCAGGGGCCCCUCGGCCACCAACAGCCCUCCUCCUCCUCCUCCUCCUGCUCCCUCCACCCCUCACAUGGCACAGCAGCUAAAAACCUCCAGCACUGUCAGCUCCAACGCAGCCAAAGCACGAGCCCACCCCGGGGGAUGCACAGGACAGGGAGAGGGGCAUCAAUAUGUGUAAUGAGAGGGGACAGUAACAAAGAGGCAGAGGGAAAGGAGAGGAUUGAACCCCUCUGGAUGAUUAAGAGCUGUUUAGGGGCAGGCAUUCCCCCCAUCUUCUCCUUCACCACCUCCCCCAAGCACCCACCAAAGCAGAGCUGCUCACCGAGAGCCAGGGCUGCUCAUGGCUCUCACUGCAGUCUCCCUGUCCAAGCCAGGCUGUCUUUGCCCCACAGGCUGCUCUCCUCGUCCCCUUCCUUCCAUCACACAGCUGCUGCACAGCCCCAGUGUUCAACAGGACCUGCAGAAGAGCUGGAGGAACCUGCCUGGGUUAAGAGCCAAGCAACACUUCAGACUUGAGACUCAACGCUAUCUAAAGUCACACACUCCACAUUACCCACCACUGCAGUCAGUAUUUUAGGGGAAAUCCUGGACUCUGAAGCAAUGCUAUGAAAAUCCAAGAGCCUCCUGCCACCCCACAAGGCCGAGCAGGGCACUCCUCCUCCAGCAGCCCCUCUUCCC
This 1047-nucleotide long non-coding RNA is filed under the name Manacus vitellinus (golden-collared manakin). Its description in RNAcentral is "lncRNA (ENSMVIG00005017624.1)". Lineage: Eukaryota; Metazoa; Chordata; Aves; Passeriformes; Pipridae. The record is from RNAcentral.